RNAcentral lists this ribosomal RNA (142 nucleotides) under Bacillus cereus. Its description in RNAcentral is "partial 23S ribosomal RNA". It matches the Rfam family "Bacterial large subunit ribosomal RNA", at positions 2788 to 2925 of the family's 2925-position model. The record is from RNAcentral. Lineage: Bacteria; Bacillati; Bacillota; Bacilli; Caryophanales; Bacillaceae.
UGAAGCCCCCCUCAAGAUGAGAUUUCCCAUAGCGUAAGCUAGUAAGAUCCCUGAAAGAUGAUCAGGUUGAUAGGUUCGAGGUGGAAGCAUGGUGACAUGUGGAGCUGACGAAUACUAAUAGAUCGAGGACUUAACCAUAUAA